Molecule: small nucleolar RNA, 76 nt
Organism: Equus asinus (donkey)
Lineage: Eukaryota; Metazoa; Chordata; Mammalia; Perissodactyla; Equidae
Gene: SNORD115
Rfam family: Small nucleolar RNA SNORD115
About the family: HBII-52 is a member of the C/D class of snoRNAs, which contain the C (UGAUGA) and D (CUGA) box motifs. HBII-52 is encoded in a tandemly repeated array with another C/D snoRNA, HBII-85, in the Prader-Willi syndrome (PWS) region of chromosome 15.
Source: Ensembl
GGGUCAAGAGUGAGAUGUUAUCUUGAAGGGAAGUGGUGACACAAAAAUCAAGCUCAGUUGGAUUAUGUUUAGGCCU